RNAcentral lists this long non-coding RNA (927 nucleotides) under Citrus x clementina. RNAcentral's name for it is "Citrus clementina (C. clementina) long non-coding RNA (CCLE_LNC001292)". Lineage: Eukaryota; Viridiplantae; Streptophyta; Magnoliopsida; Sapindales; Rutaceae. The record is from RNAcentral.
UAUCUAUAAUGUUGAAUUGAAAAAAAAAUGAAAGUAUAAAUAGUAAUUAUGUGAUUACAUUAAAUAAGUUAAAAAGUUGAAGGGGUAUUUUUAGAAGUUUUGGUUUCCAACAUAAGGGGAAUUUGAAUUCUUCACUUCUUGUUGUGGAAUUCAAAUUCUACAUUAUAAUGGAUAUUAAUUUCUAAUAGACGUUAAAUUAUUAUACAUUAUGUCAAACCAAACAACGAAAAAAAAAAGAAGAUUUUAUUGUCAUGUUGUUUCUUUAUUAAGGACACUGUAGUUACUUAUUUUGUUUAUAUAUUUUUCAGUUUAAUGAGAUUUCAGGAACUUUGCUCUAUGGCAAGAUGACCGUGACAAUUCAAAGAAGGGAGGACCACUUAGGUGAUGUUGGGUUUGAAGAAAUGUGAGAAGAUGAGAGGAGAGGAAAGUGGAGAAAAAGAGAGAAGAGGAGAGGAGAGGAGAGUACAAAACUUUUCUAAUAUUUGGUUUGUUACAUAAUUAUAUAAAGAAAGGAAAUCUCUAAUUUUUUAUUUAGACAAUUUUAACCUUAAUAAGCGUUAAGCUUUCAAUAUUUAUCAUGAAUAUAAUUCAAAAAAAUUAAACAGCAAAUGUUAGAGAGAGAGUUGGGUCACAUGAGAGAAACAAGUCAACCCGAACCUGAGAGCCCGACCUGAAAGCCAUUUUUUAUUCCCUCCACAUCACCGGUAAUGGAAGGUACUGAUCAGAACUUCAAGAGCCAACCAUCAUUCCCCAUCCAUCGCUGCCGCUGAAUAUUGCCGGAAAGCCUCCAAUUGAAGCGUGAAAGCUGCGGAUAUCGCUGCCUCAAAUCGUCGAGUUUUCACCUUUUUCUUGUCACGUCGUCGCCUUGGUUUUGUCCAUCAAGGCUGCCACUUCCAUUUCCGACCAUCCCUAGCCACUAGCAACCNN